This 506-nucleotide long non-coding RNA is filed under the name Cyanistes caeruleus (blue tit). Its description in RNAcentral is "lncRNA (ENSCCEG00000017863.1)". Lineage: Eukaryota; Metazoa; Chordata; Aves; Passeriformes; Paridae. The record is from RNAcentral.
AUGCUCCGGUGCUCCGAGCGCAGGAAACCUUCUGCAGGAUUUUUCAGAGAGGAAAAACGAGAAAUGGGAAAUGGGGCAAGUGGGGAGCCCACGGCCGGCCCCAGAUCUCACGCAGCUUUGGGCCAAGGAGUGAUCACCACCGCACGAGCUUCAAGGAUGGUUUGUGUGGUUUUGGGAAUGCAGAAUUUGGCUUUCCGUCCUUGGACGUGCCUGGGAAUUCCUCAAGUCACCGCUGGAAUUGCAAAGUUUACUCUGAGCUAAAAGCGCUGUAAAUUCUGUGAGGUAACGCAAAGAGAGAAGCCACUAACUCAGGCACCACUUCAGAUCACACAGGAUGGAGAACUUCCAGAGAAGUUCUGCCAACAGGCACUGGAAUUAUUUGACUCAUUAUUAAAGGGAUGAAUGGGUUAUAAUUAUUCCUAAUUUCAUAUUCAGAGCUCAUUACCACUCCUAAGAAGGGUAGGUAGGGAGCCCUUGAGAUCCGGCAAGUUACUUUAAAUAUUCAU